Molecule: ribosomal RNA, 256 nt
Filed under: uncultured bacterium
Lineage: Bacteria
Description: partial 16S ribosomal RNA
Rfam family: Bacterial small subunit ribosomal RNA
Source: RNAcentral
AAAGCAAGCGUGUGAAUGUAAGCAAAUCCCAAAAAUAAACGUCUCAGUUCGGAUUGUAGUCUGCAACCCGGCUGCACGAAGCCGGAAUCGCUAGUAAUCGCAGAUCAGCAUGCCGCGGUGAAUACGUUCCCGGGUCUUGUACACACCGCCCGUCACACCAUGGGAGCCGGGAAUGCCCGAAGUCAGCGGCCUAACCGCAAGGAGGGAGCUGCCGAAGGCAGGCCUGGUGACUGGGGUGAAGUCGUAACAAGGUACC